GGGUCAGUAGGUUGGUCGUGCCACCGGUACGUACUGGUCUCACUGAUUCCUCCUUCCUGAAGGACCGUAAUGCCAUUAAUUUGGUGUUGCGGGGAAACAGGACUGUUACUUUGAAAAAAUUAGAGUGUUUAAAGCAAGCUAACGCUUGAAUACAUUAGCAUGGAAUAAUGAAAUAGGACGAUCGAUCCUAUUUUAUUGGUUUCUAGGAUUGACGUA
This 216-nucleotide ribosomal RNA is filed under the name Glomeromycotina sp. Its description in RNAcentral is "partial small subunit ribosomal RNA". The stretch from base 40 to 216 matches the Rfam family "Eukaryotic small subunit ribosomal RNA", at positions 686 to 864 of the family's 1831-position model. The record is from RNAcentral. Lineage: Eukaryota; Fungi; Glomeromycota.